Malania oleifera is the source of this 676-nucleotide long non-coding RNA. RefSeq lists it as uncharacterized. The transcript has 2 exons. Lineage: Eukaryota; Viridiplantae; Streptophyta; Magnoliopsida; Santalales; Ximeniaceae. The record is from RefSeq and is a predicted model, not a curated record.
GAACAUAGAAAAUCAAGAAGAAAAUAGAGAAACAAAAGGAAGAACUCAAAAGAAGAGAUCUAUUUUAAGUGGGGUUUUAAGAUGGGAAUUUGGUUGUACGAAGUCAUGAAUUUUUCAGGGAAAACGGUAUUCUUGAAAUAUUCAUCGGACAACUGGUACUUAAACCAAAUCACAAAUAUCAUUGACAAAGUAACCGAAAAUUGGGACGACUCCUGGUACUUUUCCUAUGAUCGCCAAAAUAUACAAGUUAGAGCAUAUGAUGAUGGCGAUUGGGGAUUGAGGAUUGAGGUUACGAAAAAGGGUACGUCAAACACUUUAGGUGUGACAUGGAAAAUAAAAGAGAAUUACACCCGCUACAACUUUAUUUUUGGAGACGAUACAAUUUGGCUCUUCUCUCCAAAUUAUCCUCUGUCGAAAGAUGGGUAUGAGCAUCAAGGAUGGUAUUUACGAGUUAACAAAGAAUGGAAAUGGGAGCCUUAUGAUAUAGUUGCAUAAUAUUUAGGUACUCAAGCCAGUUCCAUCUGAUGUUUCUAAGUACCCCAUAGGUUUUUAUUUUGCAAUAAGUUUCUUCUCAGCAGGAAGAAAAUGCAUGGCUGUGCUCUGUGGCAGAAUUAUACUGCACCCGCUACUGUAAUAAUAUGCAUUAUUAAUUGUGUGGAUCUUCUUAGCAGUGCGC